Molecule: ribosomal RNA, 301 nt
Filed under: uncultured bacterium
Lineage: Bacteria
Description: partial 16S ribosomal RNA
Rfam family: Bacterial small subunit ribosomal RNA
Source: RNAcentral
CAGCAGCCGCGGUAAAACGGAGGGUGCAAGCGUUAUCCGGAUUUAUUGGGUUUAAAGGGUCCGUAGGCGGAUCUGUAAGUCAGUGGUGAAAUCUCACAGCUUAACUGUGAAACUGCCAUUGAUACUGCAGGUCUUGAGUAAAUUUGAAGUGGCUGGAAUAAGUAGUGUAGCGGUGAAAUGCAUAGAUAUUACUUAGAACACCAAUUGCGAAGGCAGGUCACUAAGAUUUAACUGACGCUGAUGGACGAAAGCGUGGGGAGCGAACAGGAUUAGAUACCCGCGUAGUCCCUGUCUCUUAUAC